Molecule: unclassified non-coding RNA, 17 nt
Filed under: Mus musculus (house mouse)
Lineage: Eukaryota; Metazoa; Chordata; Mammalia; Rodentia; Muridae
Description: oocyte_clustered_small_RNA6918
Source: RNAcentral
AGGUUCAGGCUGCCAGC